RNAcentral lists this ribosomal RNA (253 nucleotides) under uncultured bacterium. Its description in RNAcentral is "partial 16S ribosomal RNA". It matches the Rfam family "Bacterial small subunit ribosomal RNA", at positions 524 to 776 of the family's 1533-position model. The record is from RNAcentral.
UACGAAGGGUGCAAGCGUUACUCGGAAUUACUGGGCGUAAAGUGUGCGCAGGCGGCAGAGCAAGUCGAGUGUGAAAGCCCCGGGCUUAACUUGGGAAUUGCGCUCGAAACUACUUUGCUGGAGUGUGGCAGAGGAAGGUGGAAUUCCACGUGUAGCGGUGAAAUGCGUAGAGAUGUGGAGGAACACCAAUGGCGAAGGCAGCCUUCUGGGCCAACACUGACGCUCAUGCACGAAAGCGUGGGGAGCAAACAGG